UACGAAGGGGGCUAGCGUUGCUCGGAAUUACUGGGCGUAAAGGGCGCGUAGGCGGCGCAUUUAGUCAGGCGUGAAAGCCCUGGGCUCAACCUGGGGACUGCGCUUGAGACGGGUGUGCUAGAGGACGGAAGAGGGUCGCGGAAUUCCCAGUGUAGAGGUGAAAUUCGUAGAUAUCAGGAGGAACACCUGUGGCGAAAGCGGCUCACUGGACCACAACUGACGCUGAGGCGCGAAAGCUAGGGGAGCAAACAGG
This 253-nucleotide ribosomal RNA is filed under the name uncultured bacterium. RNAcentral describes it as "partial 16S ribosomal RNA". It matches the Rfam family "Bacterial small subunit ribosomal RNA", at positions 524 to 776 of the family's 1533-position model. The record is from RNAcentral.